RNAcentral lists this unclassified non-coding RNA (87 nucleotides) under Pseudomonas marginalis. Lineage: Bacteria; Pseudomonadati; Pseudomonadota; Gammaproteobacteria; Pseudomonadales; Pseudomonadaceae. The record is from RNAcentral.
UGUGGGAGCGGGCUUGCUCGCGAUGCAGGCCGUGCGGUCCGUCAGGCAAACCGCACUGAUCCCAUCGCGAGCAAGCCCGCUCCCACA